Long non-coding RNA from Canis lupus familiaris (dog), 936 nucleotides. RefSeq lists it as uncharacterized. Lineage: Eukaryota; Metazoa; Chordata; Mammalia; Carnivora; Canidae. The transcript is spliced from 3 exons. The record is from RefSeq and is a predicted model, not a curated record.
GCUAUGGAAACCGACAUACCACAGUGCUGACCCUGGAGAGGUUUAGCACGCUCCCCCAGCAGGGAUGCCAGCAGCUGGACUGCAGCUGUUACAGCCCACCCUCAAGUACUUGGUCACAGGUGACUGGAGGGCUGCUCUGGAUCCUCUCACCCUCUUGAGCUAUUAGGAAGUUACUCUCUUUACAAAGGCUUUGUUCCGCCAACAUGAGACUCCUGGUACAACUCAAGAAUGAGCCGACAUCCUUACACUCUGUAACUGUAACCGAAGACCGGGCUCUGCAAUGGUCCAGCAGCUUCUUUCGCACUUAUCACCUUUUUAAAAGGCAAUGUGGUAUCUCAGAUGCAGAGACUGAAGCUCAGGAAGGGUAAGCCACCUGCCCAACGUCACGCAGCUGUGUGACCCCGAGGCCUCCUCCCGUUGCUUCCCUUGCUGCCCUCCCUGCUCUCAGACUGGAACCCUGAUGCUUUUGGCAGAGGAGAGAGCUGCUGGAGAGGUGGCCCCUCACGGAAUCUCCAGCACCCCAUCACGGCCUUGGAGGCACGGCAAUCCGAGCGAGAUCUGGGAGACGGAAAACUAUUGGUGACUUUAUGCACUUGCAGAUUUAAACACACGUUUUAUUCUUCGUAAAAAGCUGCCUGGCAGUUGCCCGGGUGCUACAUUUUUGCAGAUGUCAGAUGCGUCCACCUCUUCACUCCAGUUGCCUAAUAGCCCAAGUGGUUGCUGCCUCCGUUUGUUUGUCUCCUUGGGGUGUGCUCUCUUCAGCCCCGGCAGCCCCAGGAAGCCUGGUGUUACAUAAGCACCUCAUCAGAAUAAACAUCCAGCUAGACGCCUCUUCCUUCAGUCCUCCCGCCCUGGAGGAGCGCCUACCUCUAGCCCCGCGUUCUCCCAGAGUGCAGAGAGAGAUUCCUGUUCCUGACAGCUGCCCCUUAUUACCAG